RNAcentral lists this ribosomal RNA (557 nucleotides) under Bifidobacterium bifidum. RNAcentral describes it as "bacterial SSU rRNA". It matches the Rfam family "Bacterial small subunit ribosomal RNA", at positions 146 to 711 of the family's 1533-position model. Lineage: Bacteria; Bacillati; Actinomycetota; Actinomycetes; Bifidobacteriales; Bifidobacteriaceae. The record is from RNAcentral.
UCUCCUGGAAAACGGGUGGUAAUGCCGGAUGUUCCACAUGAUCGCAUGUGAUUGUGGGAAAGAUUCUAUCGGCGUGGGAUGGGGUCGCGUCCUAUCAGCUUGUUGGUGAGGUAACGGCUCACCAAGGCUUCGACGGGUAGCCGGCCUGAGAGGGCGACCGGCCACAUUGGGACUGAGAUACGGCCCAGACUCCUACGGGAGGCAGCAGUGGGGAAUAUUGCACAAUGGGCGCAAGCCUGAUGCAGCGACGCCGCGUGAGGGAUGGAGGCCUUCGGGUUGUAAACCUCUUUUGUUUGGGAGCAAGCCUUCGGGUGAGUGUACCUUUCGAAUAAGCGCCGGCUAACUACGUGCCAGCAGCCGCGGUAAUACGUAGGGCGCAAGCGUUAUCCGGAUUUAUUGGGCGUAAAGGGCUCGUAGGCGGCUCGUCGCGUCCGGUGUGAAAGUCCAUCGCUUAACGGUGGAUCUGCGCCGGGUACGGGCGGGCUGGAGUGCGGUAGGGGAGACUGGAAUUCCCGGUGUAACGGUGGAAUGUGUAGAUAUCGGAAAAAGAAACACCA